GAAUUGGACGGGACCCGCACAAGCAGCGGAGCGUGUGGUUUAAUUCGUUGCUACACGAAGAACCUUACCUGGGUUUGACAUAUAGGUUGUAGGGAACUGAAAAGGGACCGACCCUUCGGGAGCCUAUACAGGUGUUGCAUGGCUGUCGUCAGCUCGUGUCGUGAGAUGUUCGGUUAAGUCCGCUAACGAGCGCAACCCUCGUCGUAUGUUAUAUGUGUCAUACGAGACUGCCGGUAAAAAGCCGGAGGAAGGUGAGGAUGAUGUCAAGUCAGCAUGACCUUUAUAUCCAGGGCUACACACACGCUACAAUGGUCUGUACAAUGGGUAGCCAAGCCGCGAGGCGGAGCCAAUCCUGAAAGCAGGCCUCAGUUCAGAUUGCAGUCUGCAACUCGACUGCAUGAAGCCGGAGUUGCUAGUAACCGCAGGUCAGCAAUACUGCGGUGAAUACGUUCCCGGGUCUU
RNAcentral lists this ribosomal RNA (461 nucleotides) under uncultured Anaerolineaceae bacterium. Its description in RNAcentral is "bacterial SSU rRNA". It matches the Rfam family "Bacterial small subunit ribosomal RNA", at positions 907 to 1382 of the family's 1533-position model. Lineage: Bacteria; Bacillati; Chloroflexota; Anaerolineae; Anaerolineales; Anaerolineaceae. The record is from RNAcentral.